GAUGAACGCUGGCGGCGUGCUUAACACAUGCAAGUCGAACGAGAAAUGUAGACGGAAACCUUCGGGCGGAAGCCUUCAUUUCGAGUGGCGGACGGGUGAGUAACGCGUGGGUAACCUGCCUCAUACAGGGGGAUAACAGUUGGACACGACUGUUAAUACCGCAUAAGACCACAGCAUCGCAUGAUGCGGGGGUAAAAACUCCGGUGGUAUGAGAUGGACCCGCGUUCGAUUAGCCAGUUGGCGGGGUAACGGCCCACCAAAGCGACGAUCGAUAGCCGAUCUGAGAGGAUGACCGGACACAUUGGGACUGAGACACGGCCCAAACUCCUACGGGAGGCAGCAGUGGGGAAUAUUGCAAAGUGGGGGAAACCCUGAUGCAGCGACGCCGCGUGAGUGAAGAAGUACUUCGGUAUGUAAAGCUCUAUCAGCAGGGAAGAAAAUGACGGUACCUGAGGAAGAAGCCCCGGCUAACUACGUG
RNAcentral lists this ribosomal RNA (478 nucleotides) under uncultured bacterium. Its description in RNAcentral is "partial 16S ribosomal RNA". It matches the Rfam family "Bacterial small subunit ribosomal RNA", at positions 28 to 507 of the family's 1533-position model. The record is from RNAcentral.